GCCGAAGUGGCGGAAUUGGUAGACGCAGCGGAUUCAAAAUCCGCCGCCCUUAAAAGCGUGUGGGUUCGAUUCCCACCUCCGGCACCA
This 87-nucleotide transfer RNA is filed under the name Succinatimonas sp. CAG:777. Its description in RNAcentral is "transfer RNA-Leu(CAA)". It matches the Rfam family "tRNA". From Rfam's summary of the family: Transfer RNA (tRNA) molecules are approximately 80 nucleotides in length. The record is from RNAcentral. Lineage: Bacteria; Pseudomonadati; Pseudomonadota; Gammaproteobacteria; Aeromonadales; Succinivibrionaceae. RNAcentral also lists the same sequence under 4 other names.